This 497-nucleotide ribosomal RNA is filed under the name uncultured bacterium. Its description in RNAcentral is "partial 16S ribosomal RNA". It matches the Rfam family "Bacterial small subunit ribosomal RNA", at positions 28 to 507 of the family's 1533-position model. The record is from RNAcentral.
GAUGAACGCUGGCGGCGUGCCUAAUACAUGCAAGUCGAGCGAACAGAUGAGGAGCUUGCUCCUCUGACGUUAGCGGCGGACGGGUGAGUAACACGUGGAUAACCUACCUAUAAGACUGGGAUAACUUCGGGAAACCGGAGCUAAUACCGGAUAAUAUAUUGAACCGCAUGGUUCAAUAGUGAAAGACGGUUUUGCUGUCACUUAUAGAUGGAUCCGCGCCGCAUUAGCUAGUUGGUAAGGUAACGGCUUACCAAGGCAACGAUGCGUAGCCGACCUGAGAGGGUGAUCGCCCACCCUGGAACUGGACCAGGCCCCAGACACCGGCGGGCGGCAGAAGAGGGGAUUCUUCCGCAAGGGGCGAAGGCCUGACGGCUCACCCCGGGGUGAGUGAGAAAGGUUUUGGGAUCAAAAAACUUUUUUAUUGGGAAAAAAAAAAUGGGAAAGUAAAUAGCCGCGUCUGCACGUUACCUAAUAAAAAGGCCCCGCCUAACUCCGUC